GCAUCAGUGGUUUAGUGGUAAAAUCCAUCGUUGCCAGCUUCGCAAGAAAUCAACUUCGAUGGGCCCCGCGUUCGAUUCGCGGCUGAUGCA
Non-coding RNA from Myriangium duriaei CBS 260.36, 90 nucleotides. The record is from the annotation of a GenBank genome assembly. Lineage: Eukaryota; Fungi; Ascomycota; Dothideomycetes; Myriangiales; Myriangiaceae.